GACGAACGCUGGCGGCGUGCUUAACACAUGCAAGUCGAACGGAAAGGCCCUGCUUUUGUGGGGUGCUCGAGUGGCGAACGGGUGAGUAACACGUGAGUAACCUGCCCUUGACUUUGGGAGAACUUCAGGAAACGGGGGCUAAUACCGGAUAGGAGCUCCUGCUGCAUGGUGGGGGUGGGAAAGUUUCGGCGGUUGGGGAUGGACUCGCGGCUUAUCAGCUUGUUGGUGGGGUAGGGGCUUACCAAGGCUGUGACGGGUAGCCGGCCUGAGAGGGUGACCGGCCACCUUGGGCCUGCGAUACGCCCCAGUCUCCUACGGGAGGCAGCAGUCGGGAGUCUUGCCCAGUCGUCGCACGCCUGAUACAGCAACGCCGCGUGCGUGAUGACCGCCUUCGGGUUGUAAACCGCUUUCGCCUGUGACGACGCGUGAGUGACGGUACUGGGUGAAGAAGCACCGGCUAACUACGUG
RNAcentral lists this ribosomal RNA (468 nucleotides) under uncultured bacterium. RNAcentral describes it as "partial 16S ribosomal RNA". It matches the Rfam family "Bacterial small subunit ribosomal RNA", at positions 28 to 507 of the family's 1533-position model. The record is from RNAcentral.